AACGAACGCUGGCGGCAUGCCUAACACAUGCAAGUCGAACGAGACCUUCGGGUCUAGUGGCGCACGGGUGCGUAACGCGUGGGAACCUGCCCUUAGGUUCGGAAUAACUCCUCGAAAGGGGUGCUAAUACCGGAUAAUGUCUUCGGACCAAAGAUUUAUCGCCUUUGGAUGGGCCCGCGUUGGAUUAGCUAGUUGGUAGGGUAAAAGCCUACCAAGGCGACGAUCCAUAGCUGGUCUGAGAGGAUGAUCAGCCACACUGGGACUGAGACACGGCCCAGACUCCUACGGGAGGCAGCAGUGGGGAAUAUUGGACAAUGGGCGAAAGCCUGAUCCAGCAAUGCCGCGUGAGUGAUGAAGGCCUUAGGGUUGUAAAGCUCUUUUACCCGGGAUGAUAAUGACAGUACCGGGAGAAUAAGCGCCGGCUAACUCCGUG
Molecule: ribosomal RNA, 433 nt
Filed under: uncultured bacterium
Lineage: Bacteria
Description: partial 16S ribosomal RNA
Rfam family: Bacterial small subunit ribosomal RNA
Source: RNAcentral